This 486-nucleotide ribosomal RNA is filed under the name uncultured bacterium. Its description in RNAcentral is "partial 16S ribosomal RNA". It matches the Rfam family "Bacterial small subunit ribosomal RNA", at positions 30 to 507 of the family's 1533-position model. The record is from RNAcentral.
AUUGAACGCUGGCGGCAUGCCUUACACAUGCAAGUCGAACGGCAGCACGGGUGCUUGCACCUGGUGGCGAGUGGCGAACGGGUGAGUAAUACAUCGGAACAUGUCCUGUAGUGGGGGAUAGCCCGGCGAAAGCCGGAUUAAUACCGCAUACGAUCUACGGAUGAAAGCGGGGGACCUUCGGGCCUCGCGCUAUAGGGUUGGCCGAUGGCUGAUUAGCUAGUUGGUGGGGUAAAGGCCCACCAAGGCGACGAUCAGUAGCUGGUCUGAGAGGACGACCAGCCACACUGGGACUGAGACACGGCCCAGACUCCUACGGGAGGCAGCAGUGGGGAAUUUUGGACAAUGGGCGAAAGCCUGAUCCAGCAAUGCCGCGUGUGUGAAGAAGGCCUUCGGGUUGUAAAGCACUUUUGUCCGGAAAGAAAUCCUUGGCUCUAAUACAGCCGGGGGAUGACGGUACCGGAAGAAUAAGCACCGGCUAACUACGUG